Molecule: long non-coding RNA, 1665 nt
Filed under: Nicotiana tabacum (common tobacco)
Lineage: Eukaryota; Viridiplantae; Streptophyta; Magnoliopsida; Solanales; Solanaceae
Description: long non-coding RNA (NTAB_LNC001559)
Source: RNAcentral
UAACAAACACACAACUCUUAAUCACACCCAAAACCCAACAAAUUCAUAGUUAAUUUGAAGAAAUAAGUCCUUCAAUUAGUACACAUCUAGUAUAUUAAGUUAAUAAAUACAACUGACAUCUAAAUACUUUACUGAAUCAAAUACAUUCAAUACAGAACCCACAUCUAAUUCUGAGAUACAAGUGCAAUGUUGAUUACUCGAUUGAUCACAUAUAAUAAAGAGGGACUCAGCUAGGAGGAGGCAGGAAACAUAAUGCAACAAACUUAAAAUAGAACAACUAGUAUAGCCAACAGAGAAAAAUCUCUUUCUUCAAUUCAACUGGAAACCACAUCUUCACAAACUAGCCUUAUACAGACAUCAAUUCCAUUGAGGGUUCAAAUGAAAUACCUGGGAAAUAAGAGGAAACAAGAAGAAAAUGAGGUUUCAGUAGAUGAAAAAAAACAGUAGAAACACAGUAGGGUUCAACACCAACAGUCCAUUUUAGCCAGAAAAUGAUGUGAAACAGUCCAAAAAUCCACUCUCAAUCGAACAGUAACCAAGGCUAACUUCAGACCAAAAUUUUGAAAACCAAACUCAAUCCAUUUUAACCUCAAAUAAAUCAGAAAAUUAUUUCAGAAAUUGAAAUUCAAUGGAACAGUGUUCUUUAUCAAAAAAAAAAAACCUCAACCGUUUGUGAUUUUCUCAAUUUUCCCCUUAAAGUCUGACUUGAGAGUCAAGUUAGGAUGCCUUUAUUGGCAAGGCAUUAGGGCAGCCCCUUAAGAAACAGUUUUGCACCUUAGUCCUUUUCUCAUUUUUAUUUUUGCUUAGGGAACCUUAGUGUAAAACUCAAAAAUUCAGAAAUGCUCCCACCCCAACUUCCUAGAAGCUUCCAGUUCAGUUAUACAAAGAUUCCCUACCUAGAGUUCCUAAACUACCCCUUGAUCUCCUAAAAUUACCCUCAUCAAAUUACAUGGGUCAAGUAGACCCAGUGUUUCAAUUCUAAGCCUGGGCUAACUCCUUUCCUUUGGACCCAAGUCCAUUUCACUAAUUCAAAUAGAAAGGUCUAGAGGGCAGACAAACAACUGGUAUUGGAAUCAGAUGAGCCUUUGGACUAAAUGUUCCCACUUCGGCCCAAAAUUUGAAAAAUAAGGAAAUUAAGAAACAACUAAACUAAUGAAUCCAAUUAAACAACAAUUAACUCCUACACUAAACUAAGAAGAAACAUGCGAAGAUGAUUUUGAGAAAACGGACGGAUAGAAGAAAAUAAAAGAAGAUAACAAUGGAAGAAUAAAACCGAAAAAAUAACAACAGAAAAAGAAAAAUACCUAAAGAAAUGCCUCAGACAGAAAAAAUGGCGACGAAUCUUCAAACUCUCAAAUCUUCGGCUCAAUCUGAGAUUAAUCAUGUGUUUCUCAUCAAAACACAUAAAUAAAGUCAGAAGGAGCCUAAAAUCUUCACAGAAAUCUUGGCUUAGAAAAUUUGGGGUUUUAUGGUUAGGCUUUGAUCUAAGAUUCGAGGGAAACUAGUAUGUGAUUUAGGAAGAGGGGGUCACGGGGCUUAUGGGGUGUAAUUUUGGUGGUGAACGGAGGUGGCGCCGCCACUCUAAAGCGGUGGGAAAAAGGGGCGGCUGCUAGGGUUUCAGGGGCGGUGUCUCUGAAGAACAGGGGAAGUGAGGGAGAUGAGAUG